UACGGAGGGAGCUAGCGUUGUUCGGAAUUACUGGGCGUAAAGCGCGCGUAGGCGGCAAUGUAAGUUAGAGGUGAAAGCCCGGGGCUCAACCCCGGAACAGCCUUUAAGACUGCAUCGCUAGAAUCCGGGAGAGGUGAGUGGAAUUCCGGGUGUAGAGGUGAAAUUCGUAGAUAUCGUAAGGAAGACCAGUGGCGAAGGCGAGUCUCUGGACAGUUACUGACGCUGAGGCACGAAGGCCAGGGGAGCAAACGGG
This 253-nucleotide ribosomal RNA is filed under the name uncultured bacterium. Its description in RNAcentral is "partial 16S ribosomal RNA". It matches the Rfam family "Bacterial small subunit ribosomal RNA", at positions 524 to 776 of the family's 1533-position model. The record is from RNAcentral.